AAAGAUUAAGCCAUGCAUGUGUAAGUAGAGUUGAUAUAAAGCGAAACUGCGAACGGCUCAUUACAACAGAUAUAAUUUACUUGUUCUAUUCCUUUAAACGGAUAACUGCGGUAAUUCUGGAGCCAAUACGUGCUAAAAGACGCAUUCAGCAAUGAGUGUGUUGCAUUUAUCGGAGCAAAACCCUUCCUGGUUUUAUGCUAACUCUGGAUAGCACUGCUUAUCGCAUGACCUUGUGUCGGCGAAGUUACAUUCAAGUAUCUGCCUUAUCAACUUUCGAUGGUAGUGUAUUGGACUGCCAUGGUGUUGACGGGUAACGGAGAAUCAGGGUUCGACUCCGGAGAGGGAGCCUUAGAAACGGCUACCAUGUCUAAGGACAGCAGCAGGCGCGCAACUUAUCCACUGUUCAUUGAGCGAGAUAGUGACGAGAAAUAACAAGUUCGUUCUCUAUGAGGUCGAGCAUUGGAAUGGAUGAAAUCUAAACAGUUUCAUGAGUACCCACGAGAGGGCAAGUCUGGUGCCAGCAGCCGCGGUAAUUCCAGCUCUCGUAAUGUAUAGAAUUAUUGUUGCGGUUAAAAAGUUCGUAGUUGGAUUUUCGACUGUUCAAAGGUUGGCCUUAACGGGACAUACUUUUGGCAGUGUUUGCAUUCGAUUUGGAAGCAAUUUCAAAUGGAAUGCGGAUUACUUUGAACGGCUUAAGUGCUCAAGGCGAGUCUUCGGACUGAAUACCGGUGCAUGGAAUAAUGGAACAAGGUUUCGGCCGAGUUUUAUUGGUUUUGUCGGCUAAAACAAUGGUUAACAGGAACAGCUGGGGGCACUCGUAUCGCUGCGCGAGAGGUGAAAUUCGUGGACCGCAGCGAGACGCCCUAAAGCGAAAGCAUUUGCCAAGAAUG
RNAcentral lists this ribosomal RNA (890 nucleotides) under Aphelenchoides blastophthorus. Its description in RNAcentral is "SSU rRNA". It matches the Rfam family "Eukaryotic small subunit ribosomal RNA", at positions 39 to 966 of the family's 1831-position model. Lineage: Eukaryota; Metazoa; Nematoda; Chromadorea; Rhabditida; Aphelenchoididae. The record is from RNAcentral.